This 1696-nucleotide long non-coding RNA is filed under the name Fragaria vesca (wild strawberry). Its description in RNAcentral is "long non-coding RNA (FVES_LNC002416)". The record is from RNAcentral. Lineage: Eukaryota; Viridiplantae; Streptophyta; Magnoliopsida; Rosales; Rosaceae.
ACUGUGAAAAUAUAUAUGAAAUCAUCAGAGUGAGAUACUCGGCCAAAAAAUUCUAUUAAAUUUGAACUUCAUGACCUUAACAAUCAGGCAGCUAGGCUGCUAGGCUGCUAAGCAACUAGACUACGGCUUAUGGACAUUGACCAAGCAUUUACGAAGCAUUCAAUUUGGUUGAGAGAGAGAGAGAGAGAGAGAGAGAGAGAGAGAGAGAGAGAGAGAGAGAGAGAGAGAGAGAGAGAGAGAGAGCUAACUGUACAAUGAAUAAACGAAUGAAGUUUGCACAGUGAAUAAUUACCUAUGCAAAACUACAAAUAAAACGAUGAUAUAUGUAGAUUUUACAACUUCGAUCACUACAUAUUGUACGUACUGAUUAAUUAGUUGCAUGCAGAUGGACUAAUUCGCGCUCAUGGAAGAAAUAUUUCCUCCAAUUCGCUGAACGACGGUCUCAAUCUUCCUGACCGUAGCCAAGGUCUCCCUGAGAUCCCUCGUCUUUUGCAGCUCAAGUACAUGCAAGACAGUGUGAAGCGAUUUGUCCAGUUGAUCAAGCCGGUUGGUGUAUCUGUAUUUUUUUAAUAAACUCCAGGCACUAACCUUGGAGCACUUGCGAACCAAGUCUUCCCCGUCCUCCAGCUGCGACUUUAAAUCCUGCAAUUCCUCCAUUGGUUGAUUCAGCACCUUAUUGUAUUCUGCUAUCUCGGAGAUCACUGGUUUCAAGCACUCGAGCGUGAGUUUCAUAUCUCUGACGUAGUCCUUGAACAUCAUCAUCUUCUCCAUCAUCACUUGUAUAACGCUGUGUCGAGCAAUUACGAUUAGAACAGUAAGUUCUUGGAGCUAGCUAGCUAAUCGAGAAAGGAAGAAAUUAGUAGAAUUGGAGUGACGGGUGAGAGAUAUGGUUCAGGCCUUCAGCAAUGUACUUAUAUAGUAGCUAGGCGAACCUUCAAAGAAUAUUCUAAAGUCGAAAUUACGUCGUCAAUUGUAGAGUCAACUCUUCGUCAAGCGUGUCUUGACUGCUAAAGUGCCACUGUGCCAGAGUGGAGUUUCGAUAUGCUGUGGUUGGGUGGGCUCUUUCGGAGUAACUUGCAGCCACGUGGGUGCAUGGAAACUUCCAACAGAGUGAACAAACACAACAUGGAACUUGCGCGUCUAUUUCGGUUCAACGGCUACCUCCCUUUUUGUUGUUGUUGGAUUCCUUCAACGGCUACCUGCAAAUUGGUCACUCUCCAAUCGAAUAUAAACCCUAAUUAGGCUACAUAUCGAUCCCCCUUGAUUUCAAUAAAGAAAAAAAGAAUUUUCUAUUUCUUUUUUUAACACCCGAAGCGUACGUUAACAUGCACCCGAAAUCCCACAUGACCGCAACUAGCUAGAGCAUGUUCUAAUUGUCUUCGGGGUUGAACUGAACAAUUCCUCCUCCAUCGAUCCCUUUCACGACUGGGCAAACUGAACGAGUUACUUAUAUACAGGAAUCCCAAGCAUAUAUUUGACUAUUGAAAAUAACAUUGCAAACAAUGUUGCAGCUUGGUAGAAAACAAGAAAUAUCAGACUAUAAUUCAAAAUUCAAAUGUCAUUAACACCAAGUCGUUCUUCCAUUUCAUUCUGUCUAGAAGUGCAUGUGCUAUGUUAAUUUCCACAGAAAGUAUAGAGUAUAACCUCGAAUAUUUAGUUCUACUUGACCAAACCUGUUUCCAACAACCAACUAACG